CGCUGACCCACACAUCACAGACAUAGCGACUUAGUCUUUUUGUGCGUGUGAGAGGUAAGCGCCGUGGCCUGCCUUUUCUGACCUGCCCUUUGCCCAAUCUUCUGCUCCUCCUGACCCCGGGUUCUGUCGCCCUCAGCUCGAUAACCUCGGUGCGCUCCCGUGCUGCGGCCUGUGACUGGUUUGUCUGCGAAGUCCUACCUGCCUGCUGACUGACUGGCCUAGAGCGCCGCCAAGAUGAAGCUCUCCCUGGUGGCUGCGGUGCUGCUG
This 267-nucleotide non-coding RNA is filed under the name Camelus bactrianus (Bactrian camel). Its description in RNAcentral is "bip internal ribosome entry site (IRES)". It matches the Rfam family "bip internal ribosome entry site (IRES)". From Rfam's summary of the family: This family represents the bip internal ribosome entry site (IRES). RNAcentral also lists the same sequence under 1 other name. The record is from Rfam by way of RNAcentral. Lineage: Eukaryota; Metazoa; Chordata; Mammalia; Artiodactyla; Camelidae.